CAGUCGCCGCGGUAAUACAGAGGGUGCGAGCGUUAAUCGGAUUUACUGGGCGUAAAGCGUGCGUAGGCGGCUUUUUAAGUCGGAUGUGAAAUCCCUGAGCUUAACUUAGGAAUUGCAUUCGAUACUGGGAAGCUAGAGUAUGGGAGAGGAUGGUAGAAUUCCAGGUGUAGCGGUGAAAUGCGUAGAGAUCUGGAGGAAUACCGAUGGCGAAGGCAGCCAUCUGGCCUAAUACUGACGCUGAGGUACGAAAGCAUGGGGAGCAAACAGGAUUAGAUACCCGGGUAGUCCCUGUCUCUUAUAC
This 301-nucleotide ribosomal RNA is filed under the name uncultured bacterium. RNAcentral's name for it is "partial 16S ribosomal RNA". It matches the Rfam family "Bacterial small subunit ribosomal RNA", at positions 509 to 807 of the family's 1533-position model. The record is from RNAcentral.